GGUCACUGCUAUUGGGGGUUCGGCUAAGCCAUGCGAGCGGAGGGCGCGGUCGCAAGAUCGUGGCCCCGCACACGGCUCAGUAACACGUAGUCAACCUACCCUUGGGACGGGGACAACGCCGGGAAACUGGCGAUAAUCCCCGAUAGGUGAGGGACGCUGGGAUGCCUCUUCGCUCAAAGCUCCGGCGCCCGAGGAUGGGACUGCGGCCUAUCAGGCUGUUGGUGGUGUGACGGACCACCAAACCUACGACGGGUACGGGCGAUGGGAGUCGGAGCCCGGAGAUGGGGACUGAGACAAGGCCCCAGGCCCUACGGGGCGCAGCAGGCGCGAAAACUCCGCAAUGCGCGCAAGCGUGACGGGGGAACCCCAAGUGCCGUUGGUCUUUUGAUCGACGGCUUUUCGGAAGUCCAAUAAGCUUCCGGAAUAAGGGCUGGGUAAGACUGGUGCCAGCCGCCGCGGUAACACCAGCAGCCCAAGUGGUGGCCGCGAUUAUUGGGCCUAAAGCGCUCGUAGCCGGAUCAGCAAGUCCUUUGUGAAAUCGGGCCGCCCAACGGUUCGGCGUGCAAAGGAUACUGUUGGUCUUGAGACCGGGAGAGGUCGGAGGUACUCUUGGGGUAGCGGUGAAAUGCUGUAAUCCUGGGGGGACCACCAGUGGCGAAGGCGUCCGACCAGAACGGAUCUGACGGUGAGGGGCGAAGGCUAGGGGAGCGAACGGGAUUAGAUACCCCGGUAGUCCUAGCUGUAAAGCAUGCGGGCCAGGUGUCUAGCGCUCCUCGAGGGCGCUAUGUGCCGGAGGGAAGCCGUUAAGCCCGCCGCCUGGGAAGUACGGCCGCAAGGCUGAAACUUAAAGAAAUUGGCGGGGGAGCACCACAAGGGGUGGAACCUGCGGUUC
RNAcentral lists this ribosomal RNA (892 nucleotides) under uncultured archaeon. RNAcentral describes it as "bacterial SSU rRNA". It matches the Rfam family "Archaeal small subunit ribosomal RNA", at positions 21 to 903 of the family's 1478-position model. The record is from RNAcentral.